AACAGGAUUAGAUACCCUGGUAGUCCACGCCGUAAACGAUGUCGACUUGGAGGUUGUGCCCUUGAGGCGUGGCUUCCGGAGCUAACGCGUUAAGUCGACCGCCUGGGGAGUACGGCCGCAAGGUUAAAACUCAAAUGAAUUGACGGGGGCCCGCACAAGCGGUGGAGCAUGUGGUUUAAUUCGAUGCAACGCGAAGAACCUUACCUGGUCUUGACAUCCACAGAACUUUCCAGAGAUGGAUUGGUGCCUUCGGGAACUGUGAGACAGGUGCUGCAUGGCUGUCGUCAGCUCGUGUUGUGAAAUGUUGGGUUAAGUCCCGCAACGAGCGCAACCCUUAUCCUUUGUUGCCAGCGGUCCGGCCGGGAACUCAAAGGAGACUGCCAGUGAUAAACUGGAGGAAGGUGGGGAUGACGUCAAGUCAU
RNAcentral lists this ribosomal RNA (422 nucleotides) under Escherichia coli. RNAcentral describes it as "bacterial SSU rRNA". It matches the Rfam family "Bacterial small subunit ribosomal RNA", at positions 771 to 1193 of the family's 1533-position model. The record is from RNAcentral. Lineage: Bacteria; Pseudomonadati; Pseudomonadota; Gammaproteobacteria; Enterobacterales; Enterobacteriaceae.